CAGGCAUGCCUGCAUGCAGACACGACACGACGACCAAGAUCACGACCAAUUGACGAGCGAGCUUGUCGAGAACAACUUAGCCGCUGCCGCCGAGCACGCUCUUGAGCUUCUUCACCGUCGCGUCGUCCAAGAAGGUGACCUUCUCCACGACGGCCGACGGGAGGUUGUUGGCGAAGAGCGCGAAGUCGGUGAUCUGCAGGCCGGGGUUAGGGCUGCUAAAGGCAACGAGCGCCACCGCGGGGCCAGAGCCGGCGUUGUACUGGUAGUGGAGCAAGCCCUGGGGGAACACCAUGAUGUCGCCCGCGUUCAGCGUCUUGGUGUAGGGGGUGUUCGACCCGGAGCUGAUGAAGCCGGCGGCGACGGUGCCCUGGGUGACGAAGAGGAGCUCGGAGCCGGCCGGGUGGGUGUGCAGCGGCACGACGCCGCCCACCUCCAUGUCGAGCCUGGCCGCGGAGAUGCCGAGGCCGUUGACGCCCGGGAACUGGCCGACGAAGGCCGGGGUCACGGCGGCCUUGAUGAGGGGGUUGAUUUUGCCCAUGCCAGCCAGGCCGUGGUAGUAGAAGUCAUUAGCGCUGACGCUAGACUUGCACGGGUAGCCGGCCGGCGUGUCGCUGCAGGACAGGUCAGCGACGCAGAAGUCCUGCGUCAGCGCGAGGGAGGCGAAGGGCAGGAGGAGGAAGGAGAGGAGCACGGGGAGCAGCACCAUCUUGGCCAUGGCAACGGCUUACUACACAGCUAGCUCGAGAUAGUUUGAUGUGUGGAUAUGUGUUGC
Molecule: long non-coding RNA, 772 nt
Filed under: Setaria viridis
Lineage: Eukaryota; Viridiplantae; Streptophyta; Magnoliopsida; Poales; Poaceae
Description: long non-coding RNA (SVIR_LNC007392)
Source: RNAcentral